GAGAAUUUUUAGGGAUUGAUUUCGAUCUUCCCGAACCUUCUUUUUCAUCCUAAACACCUGUGCAUUUGUUUGUUUGUGCGUAAAAAACACAAACAAACAAACAAUUUUAAACACACAAACACUAUGUUUUUUUGAACGUAAAAAAUAUUUUAACAAAUAUA
This 161-nucleotide unclassified non-coding RNA is filed under the name uncultured Meira. Its description in RNAcentral is "sequence contains ITS1". The record is from RNAcentral. Lineage: Eukaryota; Fungi; Basidiomycota; Exobasidiomycetes; Exobasidiales; Brachybasidiaceae.